AUUAUUUUGUGACUGAGUGGCGGACGGGUGAGUAACGCGUGGGUAACCUGCCUUGUACAGGGGGAUAACAGUUGGAAACGGCUGCUAAUACCGCAUAAGCGCACAGCAUCGCAUGAUGCAGUGUGAAAAACUCCGGUGGUAUAAGAUGGACCCGCGUUGGAUUAGCUAGUUGGUGAGGUAACGGCCCACCAAGGCGACGAUCCAUAGCCGACCUGAGAGGGUGACCGGCCACAUUGGGACUGAGACACGGCCCAAACUCCUACGGGAGGCAGCAGUGGGGAAUAUUGCACAAUGGGCGAAAGCCUGAUGCAGCGACGCCGCGUGAGCGAAGAAGUAUUUCGGUAUGUAAAGCUCUAUCAGCAGGGAAGAUAAUGACGGUACCUGACUAAGAAGCACCGGCUAAAUACGUGCCAGCAGCCGCGGUAAUACGUAUGGUGCAAGCGUUAUCCGGAUUUACUGGGUGUAAAGGGAGCGCAGGCGGUGCGGCAAGUCUGAUGUGAAAGCCCGGGGCUCAACCCCGGUACUGCAUUGGAAACUGUCGUACUAGAGUGUCGGAGGGGUAAGCGGAAUUCCUAGUGUAGCGGUGAAAUGCGUAGAUAUUAGGAGGAA
This 609-nucleotide ribosomal RNA is filed under the name uncultured Lachnospiraceae bacterium. RNAcentral describes it as "bacterial SSU rRNA". It matches the Rfam family "Bacterial small subunit ribosomal RNA", at positions 79 to 706 of the family's 1533-position model. Lineage: Bacteria; Bacillati; Bacillota; Clostridia; Lachnospirales; Lachnospiraceae. The record is from RNAcentral.